RNAcentral lists this microRNA precursor (200 nucleotides) under Arabidopsis thaliana (thale cress). Its description in RNAcentral is "MIR854 microRNA precursor family". It matches the Rfam family "MIR854 microRNA precursor family". Lineage: Eukaryota; Viridiplantae; Streptophyta; Magnoliopsida; Brassicales; Brassicaceae. The record is from Rfam by way of RNAcentral.
UGAUAUAGAUGAGGCGGAGUUUGACACAAGCAUGUAUCAUUUCAGUGAGCAUAUACCUCGAGCGAGGGAUAGCAAGAGUUUGAGCGAAGCUCACAGGAACAACAGCAAGCUGCAGAAGUGGUGCAAGAAACAUGAUAAGUUACUCGCCAACUCCCUCAGGACAUGCCCUCGAGGAGAUAUGACGCGCCUAAGCCAAGUCG